GACGAACGCUGGCGGCGUGCUUAACACAUGCAAGUCGAACGGAAAGGCCCUGCUUUUGUGGGGUGCUCGAGUGGCGAACGGGUGAGUAACACGUGAGUAACCUGCCCUUGACUUUGGGAUAACUUCAGGAAACUGGGGCUAAUACCGGAUAGGAGCUCCUGCUGCAUGGUGGGGGUUGGAAAGUUUCGGCGGUUGGGGAUGGACUCGCGGCUUAUCAGCUUGUUGGUGGGGUAGUGGCUUACCAAGGCUUUGACGGGUAGCCGGCCUGAGAGGGUGACCGGCCACAUUGGGACUGAGAUACGGCCCAGACUCCUACGGGAGGCAGCAGUGGGGAAUAUUGCACAAUGGGCGGAAGCAUGAUGCAGCAACGCCGCGUGCGGGAUGACGGCCUUCGGGUUGUAAACCGCUUUCGCCUGUGACGCAGCGUGAGUGACGGUAAUGGGUAAAGAAGCACCGGCUAACUACGUG
RNAcentral lists this ribosomal RNA (468 nucleotides) under uncultured bacterium. RNAcentral describes it as "partial 16S ribosomal RNA". It matches the Rfam family "Bacterial small subunit ribosomal RNA", at positions 28 to 507 of the family's 1533-position model. The record is from RNAcentral.